UGAAAAAACUAACCAGGAUUCCCCUAGUAACGGCGAGUGAAGCGGGAAGAGCUCAAAUUUGUAAUCUAACUGUCUUUGGCAGUUCGAGUUGUAAUCUCGAGAAGUGUUUUCCGUGUUGGACCGCAUACAAGUCUGUUGGAAUACAGCGUGAAAAAGGUGAUAACCCUGUACAUGAUGCGGAUACAGCCAAUACUAUAUGAUACACUUUCGAAGAGUCGAGUUGUUUGGGAAUGCAGCUCAAAUUGGGUGGUAAAUUCCAUCUAAAGCUAAAUAUUGGCGAGAGACCGAUAGCGAACAAGUACCGUGAGGGAAAGAUGAAAAGCACUUUGGAAAGAGAGUUAACAGUACGUGAAAUUGUUGGAAGGGAAACGCUUCAACUUAGACUUGCAGGUAGGGGUUCAGCCAUUUGGUGUACUCCCUUAUUCGCAGGCCAGCAUCAGUUUUCGGGGGUGAAAAAUCGUUUUUAAAAGGUAGCAUUCCUCGUGAAUGUGUUAUAGUUUUAAACUGGAUUCAUCCUUGGGGACUGAGGUAUGUAGGGUACUGUAUUGUAUCAGUUUCGGCUGAUUUUACCCUUUGGAUGCUGGUAGAAUGGGUUGAAACGACCCGUCUUGAA
This 613-nucleotide ribosomal RNA is filed under the name Yunzhangia sonckii. RNAcentral's name for it is "LSU rRNA". It matches the Rfam family "Eukaryotic large subunit ribosomal RNA", at positions 56 to 658 of the family's 3401-position model. Lineage: Eukaryota; Fungi; Basidiomycota; Microbotryomycetes; Chrysozymaceae. The record is from RNAcentral.